UGCCACUCUGAAAGGAUCUUUUUCUGGAGAUCCUUCCUUUGUGGAGUUUCCUCUGUGAACCUAGAUCCUCAGAGACAGGCAAUUGAAUAAUUUGGGAUCUUGCUCAAAAGCAUCCUCUUUCUUCUGUGAUUCUCAUGGAGACUGUAAUGGCCACUCACUCCAGUCGCGCUCACCGCUCUCUUGCUGUGCAUUUCAGGACAAAGCUGGGGAAGAAUGUGGUGUAACACCAGCCAGCUCUCAUUACUGCUAAAGGAAUGUGGUGUGAUUAAACCUCUAUACGGAAAAAAAUGGAAUGUAAUUCUUACAUGUUGAUUUGCCUUGAAUGCAUGCCACCUGCUGAGGAAUGAGUUUCCAGUGUAUUCUUCAAUUUUUAAAGAUUCAGAGGGCCUCGCUUCCAAAAAAUUAACUAUCCUCUUCUGAAAACGAGGACUAUUUGGUUAAGGACAUUUGUUCACAUUUUCCAGUGUCCAAAACCAUCAAAUCCUUUGAGAACUAACUAUCUGUGAACACAAAGCCUUCUUUUUCUUCCUAUUGGGAAAUUCAAGUGUCAAAGCCCUUUUCUGUGAAGCCAUAGAACAAAAUAAGUUUCUGUAUUUUUUUACAUAUUUCUUCAAAAGUUUCACUAAUAUAUUACCAACCGUUAAAACCAUUACAAACCGUUAAAACCUUCCGGAGUCCUCUACAGAUGCCUGAGCUCACUCUGUUUCUAUAUAACCCUUGAGACUGCAUCUCAGCUGCUAACUUCUGGCUGAAGACUGGAUGGGACUCCCUCCUGAGUCCAGCAGCAAGCUGUCAUCCAAAAAGUGAGCUGUGGGGUGAUGCAAGACACUCCCUUCCCUCCGGAUCUGAGCGAGCUACCUCAUCUUGAAAGGAUUUGUUGCUCAAUGAUAUCAGCUUAGAGUGAAAUACAGAUCACUUGUCAGCAGUUAAUGAUAAUAUUUACUUGCUUACCUCACAAGAUCAGCUCUCUAAAGUGUGAAACCUCUGCUCACCCUUGAAACUGAACUGUAUAAACUCAGAAUUUACUGUAAACUCUUGGCUUGUAAAACCUAAAGCAGGAUCAGUGAGAUAUCUAUUCCAUUAUUCUGAGAAUACUUUCAGAACUUGGGGGAUAACACUGGCACAAGAAACUCAUUGGAUCAUAACAGUAAUGUGGAAUUCUUUUGUUGGAAAAGUAGCCCUUUCAAUCAUCAGG
Molecule: long non-coding RNA, 1195 nt
Organism: Numida meleagris (helmeted guineafowl)
Lineage: Eukaryota; Metazoa; Chordata; Aves; Galliformes; Numididae
Exons: 3
Source: RefSeq, a predicted model, not a curated record